CAGAAGUGCGAAUGCUGACAUAAGUAACGAUAAAGCGGGUGAAAAGCCCGCUCGCCGGAAGACCAAGGGUUCCUGUCCAACGUUAAUCGGGGCAGGGUGAGUCGACCCCUAAGGCGAGGCCGAAAGGCGUAGUCGAUGGGAAACAGGUUAAUAUUCCUGUACUUGGUGUUACUGCGAAGGGGGGACGGAGAAGGCUAUGUUGGCCGGGCGACGGUUGUCCCGGUUUAAGCGUGUAGGCUGGUUUUCCAGGCAAAUCCGGAAAAUCAAGGCUGAGGCGUGAUGACGAGGCACUACGGUGCUGAAGCAACAAAUGCCCUGCUUCCAGGAAAAGCCUCUAAGCAUCAGGUAACAUCAAAUCGUACCCCAAACCGACACAGGUGGUCAGGUAGAGAAUACCAAGGCGCUUGAGAGAACUCGGGUGAAGGAACUAGGCAAAAUGGUGCCGUAACUUCGGGAGAAGGCACGCUGAUAUGUAGGUGAAGUCCCUUGCGGAUGGAGCUGAAAUCAGUCGAAGAUACCAGCUGGCUGCAACUGUUUAUUAAAAACACAGCACUGUGCAAACACGAAAGUGGACGUAUACGGUGUGACGCCUGCCCGGUGCCGGAAGGUUAAUUGAUGGGGUCAGCGCAAGCGAAGCUCUUGAUCGAAGCCCCGGUAAACGGCGGCCGUAACUAUAACGGUCCUAAGGUAGCGAAAUUCCUUGUCGGGUAAGUUCCGACCUGCACGAAUGGCGUAAUGAUGGCCAGGCUGUCUCCACCCGAGACUCAGUGAAAUUGAACUCGCUGUGAAGAUGCAGUGUACCCGCGGCAAGACGGAAAGACCCCGUGAACCUUUACUAUAGCUUGACACUGAACAUUGAGCCUUGAUGUGUAGGAUAGGUGGGAGGCUUAGAAGUGUGGACGCCAGUCUGCAUGGAGCCGACCUUGAAAUACCACCCUUUAAUGUUUGAUGUUCUAACGUUGACCCGUAAUCCGGGUUGCGGACAGUGUCUGGUGGGUAGUUUGACUGGGGCGGUCUCCUCCUAAAGAGUAACGGAGGAGCACGAAGGUUGGCUAAUCCUGGUCGGACAUCAGGAGGUUAGUGCAAUGGCAUAAGCCAGCUUGACUGCGAGCGUGACGGCGCGAGCAGGUGCGAAAGCAGGUCAUAGUGAUCCGGUGGUUCUGAAUGGAAGGGCCAUCGCUCAACGGAUAAAAGGUACUCCGGGGAUAACAGGCUGAUACCGCCCAAGAGUUCAUAUCGACGGCGGUGUUUGGCACCUCGAUGUCGGCUCAUCACAUCCUGGGGCUGAAGUAGGUCCCAAGGGUAUGGCUGUUCGCCAUUUAAAGUGGUACGCGAGCUGGGUUUAGAACGUCGUGAGACAGUUCGGUCCCUAUCUGCCGUGGGCGCUGGAGAACUGAGGGGGGCUGCUCCUAGUACGAGAGGACCGGAGUGGACGCAUCACUGGUGUUCGGGUUGUCAUGCCAAUGGCACUGCCCGGUAGCUAAAUGCGGAAGAGAUAAGUGCUGAAAGCAUCUAAGCACGAAACUUGCCCCGAGAUGAGUUCUCCCUGACUCCUUGAGAGUCCUGAAGGAACGUUGAAGACGACGACGUUGAUAGGCCGGGUGUGUAAGCGCAGCGAUGCGUUGAGCU
This 1629-nucleotide ribosomal RNA is filed under the name Escherichia coli. RNAcentral's name for it is "partial 23S ribosomal RNA". It matches the Rfam family "Bacterial large subunit ribosomal RNA", at positions 1283 to 2892 of the family's 2925-position model. The record is from RNAcentral. Lineage: Bacteria; Pseudomonadati; Pseudomonadota; Gammaproteobacteria; Enterobacterales; Enterobacteriaceae.